ACAAAAAAAACCUCGUAAGAUGAACUUACGAGGUGCCAUGUAACAUACCUAUGUAUGUACUAGGCUAUGGGAGAGGAGAAACCGGAGGAAGAACUUAUGGGGAAACGUAAGUCUUCUCCGCGG
This is a regulatory RNA element of 123 nucleotides. It matches the Rfam family "ylbH leader". Rfam says of the family: This family is a putative regulatory RNA structure that is found upstream of the ylbH gene in B. subtilis and related low GC Gram-positive bacteria. The record is from Rfam.